RNAcentral lists this ribosomal RNA (543 nucleotides) under Vibrio cholerae. RNAcentral describes it as "partial 23S ribosomal RNA". It matches the Rfam family "Bacterial large subunit ribosomal RNA", at positions 104 to 702 of the family's 2925-position model. The record is from RNAcentral. Lineage: Bacteria; Pseudomonadati; Pseudomonadota; Gammaproteobacteria; Vibrionales; Vibrionaceae.
UCUGCGAUUUCCGAAUGGGGAAACCCAACUGCAUAAGCAGUUACUGUUAACUGAAUACAUAGGUUAACAGAGCAAACCGGGGGAACUGAAACAUCUAAGUACCCCGAGGAGAAGAAAUCAACCGAGAUUCCGGUAGUAGCGGCGAGCGAACCUGGAUUAGCCCUUAAGCACUCGGUGAAGUAGGUGAACAAGCUGGAAAGCUUGGCGAUACAGGGUGAUAGCCCCGUAACCGACGCUUCAUCGAGCGUGAAAUCGAGUAGGGCGGGACACGUGAUAUCCUGUCUGAAUAUGGGGGGACCAUCCUCCAAGGCUAAAUACUCCUGACUGACCGAUAGUGAACCAGUACCGUGAGGGAAAGGCGAAAAGAACCCCUGUGAGGGGAGUGAAAUAGAACCUGAAACCGUGUACGUACAAGCAGUAGGAGCACCUUCGUGGUGUGACUGCGUACCUUUUGUAUAAUGGGUCAGCGACUUAUAUUCAGUGGCAAGGUUAACCGUAUAGGGGAGCCGUAGCGAAAGCGAGUCUUAACUGGGCGCUCAGUCU